GUCCACGCUGUAAACGAUGAGUGCUAGGCGUCGGCAAGCUUGCUUGUCGGUGCCGCAGCUAACGCGUGAAGCACUCCGCCUGGGGAGUACGGUCGCAAGAUUAAAACUCAAAGGAAUUGACGGGGGCCCCGCACAAGCGGUGGAGCAUGUGGUUUAAUUCGACGCAACGCGCAGAACCUUACCAGCCCUUGACAUCCCGUGACCGGCUCAGAGAUGGGUUUUCCCAGCAAUGGGCACGGAGACAGGUGCUGCAUGGCUGUCGU
This 263-nucleotide ribosomal RNA is filed under the name uncultured bacterium. RNAcentral describes it as "partial 16S ribosomal RNA". It matches the Rfam family "Bacterial small subunit ribosomal RNA", at positions 793 to 1055 of the family's 1533-position model. The record is from RNAcentral.